GCGACCCACAGGUCGCGGAGGCCGCGCCUGCCGUCGGCGGAACGGCUGCGCUCGUUCGCGGUGUUCGGCGCACCGGGGCUGCU
This 83-nucleotide transfer RNA is filed under the name Planotetraspora silvatica. Its description in RNAcentral is "tRNA-Arg". The record is from RNAcentral. Lineage: Bacteria; Bacillati; Actinomycetota; Actinomycetes; Streptosporangiales; Streptosporangiaceae.